UGGGGGAUAUUGCACAAUGGGCGAAAGCCUGAUGCAGCGACGCCGCGUGGGGGAUGAAGGCCUUCGGGUUGUAAACUUCUUUUGUUCUGAACAAGGCAUGCCCUUGGGGUGUGUUGAGUGUAGGGGUUGAUUAGCGCCGGCUAACUACGUGCCAGCAGCCGCGGUAAUACGUAGGGCGCGAGCGUUGUCCGGAAUUAUUGGGCGUAAAGGGCUUGUAGGUGGCUGGUUGCGUCUGUCGUGAAAGCACGUGGCUUAACUGUGGGUUUGCGGUGGAUACUGGCUGGCUAGAGUGCAGUAGGGGAAGCUGGAAUUCCUGGUGUAGCGGUGGAAUGCGCAGAUAUCAGGAGGAAUACCGGUGGCGAAGGCGGGUCUCUGGGCUGUUACUGACACUGAGGGACGAAAGCGUGGGGAGCGAACAGG
Molecule: ribosomal RNA, 420 nt
Filed under: Fusobacteriota bacterium
Lineage: Bacteria; Fusobacteriati; Fusobacteriota
Description: Fusobacteria bacterium partial 16S ribosomal RNA
Rfam family: Bacterial small subunit ribosomal RNA
Source: RNAcentral